GGCUUGUGGCUCAGUGGUAAUGUACUUGCCUCACAUGUGAGAGCACUGAGUUCAAUCCUCAGCACCA
This 67-nucleotide transfer RNA is filed under the name Marmota monax (woodchuck). Its description in RNAcentral is "tRNA.Val". The record is from RNAcentral. Lineage: Eukaryota; Metazoa; Chordata; Mammalia; Rodentia; Sciuridae.